Pelobates cultripes (western spadefoot toad) is the source of this 1048-nucleotide non-coding RNA. The record is from the annotation of a GenBank genome assembly. NCBI's taxonomy places the organism in Eukaryota, Metazoa, Chordata, Amphibia, Anura, Pelobatidae.
AUUCCUUCAGACCUGAGGAAAAGUGGAAAACUCUUACAAAACUUGCCUGUAAAGUGUUAUGUUGGUCCAGUAAAAAAGGCAUCAUUGCAUACUGCAAUAUUCUGUUAUUUUGGCAUCACCUCUGCUUAAAUGAAUACUCCAAAGUUGAAACCAAAAAAUUCAUUGUACUUACCUUUUUCCUUGACAUUACUCCGUCGUGGAGAGACUGUCAUUGACAACAUUCUCCACUUUCUGUCUGGACAGAAUUGGUGCAUAGGCAACCAUUGCCAGAAAGAAUGCUUCUCCUAGAGCUAGCCUAAUGUUUCCCUAUGGAAGCUCUCAAUUCCACUUUAGUGAUCGUUCAACUGGAGUACUCAGUCGCCGUGAUUCUAGGACUGCAGGCUCUGAGCAGAUCCUUACAGGGUCUCCAUCCAUCUCCCCACACCUAUUUUGAUAGGUGCUGGGCUUUGCACACUGCCCAAACCCGAUCACAGUGUAAUUGGCUGGGAAAGCACGCUUCAUUCAAUAUUACAGGACAAUGUUCCUGUAAUACUGAAAAAAGUCUAUAGAUGGUGGCAACAUACCACUUUUUACCAUUUUAACUAGGAAAGCAAGUAUUGAGCCCCCUAAUCUAUGGACUGAUUGCACUCCCAGAAUCCUUUAACAAGCACCUAGAUAGCCUCGCUCCUCCUUCCCUAUCGCCUCACCCUGCACACUUCAGGCAAAUCAGAUUGUAUAUACAAAGAGGACUUUCCAACUGGAAUGGGUGAGAUCUGCCCAAUAAGGGAUUACAUUGAUACCAAAGCAUUUGGAUCAGGGGCGUACCUAGAGCAUUUGGCACCUGGGGCGGAAAACACACACAAUUUUUUUCAAUAAUAUUUAUUGCACAAAUUUGUAAACUGUAUAUCAACUUGAAAAAAAUGGAACUAUGAAAAAUAAAUUAACUUAGAAAUAAAUUAAAUUUAAAUAAUUAACAUUUACUUAAAGGACCACUCUAGGCGCCCAGACCACUUCAGCUUAAUGAAGUGGUCUGGGUGCCAGGUCCCUCUAGGAUUAACCCUUUUUUUUU